This 247-nucleotide small nuclear RNA is filed under the name Pogona vitticeps (central bearded dragon). RNAcentral describes it as "7SK RNA (ENSPVIG00000006770.1)". It matches the Rfam family "7SK RNA". Rfam says of the family: 7SK was discovered as an abundant small nuclear RNA in the mid-70s but a possible function has only recently been suggested. Two independent studies have found that 7SK RNA binds the CDK9/cyclin T complex (known as elongation factor P-TEFb). The record is from Rfam by way of RNAcentral. Lineage: Eukaryota; Metazoa; Chordata; Lepidosauria; Squamata; Agamidae.
AGGUCUUUGGGUGAUUUGGGUCUGACAUUAUUCACCCCAUUGACUGCGAGGGUUGAUUUGGAUGAUCUGGCUGGUGUCCCCUUCCUUCCUCACUGCUCCAUGUGCAUUUCUUCCAAAGCUACAUGCUUGGAGGAAGAGAAAGAUCAUCUCAGACAGAAAGAGCGCACCGUUCUUUGCUUAAGAGUACAGUAUAUGAUAGCUGCACUCUUGUCCCAUCCAAGUUCUUCAUUAGGAUGUGAAAUAUUUU